CCUACGGGAGGCAGCAGUAGGGAAUAUUGGACAAUGGGCGAAACCCUGAAGCAGCAACGCCGCGUGCGCGAAGACGGUUUUCGGAUUGUAAACCUCUGUCCUCUGUGAAGAUGAUGACGGUAACAGAGGAGUAAGCUCCGGCUAACUACGUGCCAGCAGCCGCGGUAAUACGUAGGGAGCGAGCGUUGUCCGGAUUUACUGGGGGGAAAGGUUGCGUAGGCCGCUUGGCAAGUCAGUAGUGAAAUCCAUGGGCUUAACCCAUGAACUGCUAUUGAAACUGUCGAGCUUGAGUGAAGUAGAGGUAGGCGGAAUUCCCGGUGUAGCGGUGAAAUGCGUAGAGAUCGGGAGGAACACCAGUGGCGAAGGCGGCCUACUGGGCUUUAACUGACGCUGAGGCACGAAAGCGUGGGGAGCAAACAGGAUUAGAUACCCGGGUAGUC
RNAcentral lists this ribosomal RNA (440 nucleotides) under uncultured bacterium. Its description in RNAcentral is "partial 16S ribosomal RNA". It matches the Rfam family "Bacterial small subunit ribosomal RNA", at positions 338 to 795 of the family's 1533-position model. The record is from RNAcentral.